Molecule: long non-coding RNA, 2884 nt
Organism: Cavia porcellus (domestic guinea pig)
Lineage: Eukaryota; Metazoa; Chordata; Mammalia; Rodentia; Caviidae
Exons: 2
Source: RefSeq, a predicted model, not a curated record
AGCUCUCUCCUCCUCCUGCUUUCUCUGCUGUGUCAUAUGACUUCCUUUACUUAAAAUCCUUCUGAAAGCCCUCUGUGAGCCUUUGGGUACGGGGAAGAUGAAAAUUCUGACAGAGGGGCGUCCCUGCCAACCAGCGGGCCUUCCUCCCACCUGGAUCAUCCUGCGCAGCAAGCUGGCACAGGGAGAGCUCAUCCGGCUUCCCCUGCCAAGCAGCUGAACAUUUCCAAAGGGACGAACGACAGUGGAAGAAGUUAAGGAUGAGGAGGAGGGAGGAAGAAUGCCUAGGAUUUCUGCCAUCUUCGCUGCAGCCCUGAAUCCCCUUUACUUCUUUGAUGCGGGCUACAGUCCCCAGCCCUCCCCCACCCUCCCCUGCCCUCUGCAGCAGGAGGGUGGAGGAGGGGCCGCUGGCUGGAGCUCCAUGUGGCAGAGCUGUAGCUGUCACUUACCCAGCGGGGUGAGAAAGGCUCAUUUUUGCAGGAUCUUGCUGGACCCCGGCAGGUGCUGCCCGGCCCGGGUGCGCGCUGCGGUGGCUUUGGCUGCAGGAGCCCUGAGCGGCCGGGCGUCUCCACAGCUACUGCCGGUUGCUAAGGGAGGAGGUGCGGGCGCAGAGGCACCACUGGAACCAAGCCUGGGAAGCCGCAAAACGAAGCCAACUUCCACCAGUUUUUCUGGGCCGCAGUGUGGGAGGAGACCCAGACCCGGUCCCUCUGUGUUGUUCUGGGGCGCGGGUUCCCAAGCACCUGUAAUAUGCAAACACAAACACACACGCGAGCGGGCACACACACACACACACACACACACACACACACAGAGCUAGGCUGGGGCGCUUCCUGCUGGGCCCAAGGGAAGGAAGGACUCAGGGUACCUGCAGGGACAGGGACAGGAAAUGCCAUGGUUUCCAUUCCUAAAAUAGACACCAACAGCGUGUUCAAGAGACAGAAAAAGGGCACCUUUCUCAACAUGGUUGUGAAUUUGUUUCUGCCUCAGAAGGCCUGGCCUUCCGGCUUGGAGAUGCCCCAUCCUUGCUCCUCCCCGAGGUCUCUGCCGGUCAGAAAUGGAAGAUUUGCAGUUACACAGGAAAGGGGACUGGGACAGUGCAUACCUUGGGACCCAACACUGUGACGCAGGGCUUAGAGAAAGGAGCCUGAAAGUCGUAAGAAGGCCUUGGUAGGCGAGGCAGACUUCAGCACUGGGGUCCACUCACCUACUACUGCUGCAGGCCUUGUGCUGGGUGACUUAAACCCUGGUUUCACCGAUAGGGUGGGCCCCACAGGGGAGACUGUGCUCACUGUGGGUCUCUAUUGUAGUUCACACACCGUCACCCCCACCCAUGCCACCUUUUUAAUGAUGUUCUGCUUUUCUGAGUGUCAUGAAGGCCACCUGGGCAUGGCAGUGUCCCAUUUCCUUAGCAUGAUAUGUGAGUAUCCUUCAUCAGCCUGCACCUGGGCCACUUUCUCCCCUCCACUACCUGAAACUCUAGCAAAAUCCAGCUCUCACACUUUCCCUCUCCUGGAAAUAUAAUUCUACUCUUGACUACCUAGAAAAUGUCUGCUUAUUCUUCAGCACUCAGCUCGGACCCUGCCUGCCUUGAGAUCUUCCAAUCAGCUUGAGAUUCCUGCCAGGGCUGGCCUUGGCUUGUGCACCCAUGGGCUUGAACAAACAUCUGUCUUACACUCAUCCAUCUGGACUGCACUUGCCUGUGCAAGGAGCUGCCUUUGAACCACUCAGACGCAAGCCUCUCUAUUUUGUACAUUGAUUGUGUUUUUCUAUGUUUCCAGAAGCAAGCUGCAAUUUAACAAAUGUUUGGAGCAAAAAAGGAAGGAAAAGAAAUGUCUUCUAAGUGGUAGGAUUUUUAUUGAGUACUUAGUAAAUGCUUCUCUCAGCCUUUUAUGGAGCACUUACUUACUGUCCCUUAUCUCAUUUAAUCUUCCUCUCUACUCCCUGAAAUAGGAUUUCGCCUCCAUUUCAUAGCUAUCCUAACUGGGACACAGAAAAGUUCAUUAUUUUGCCUGAAGUCUAUAAGCGGAAAACUUGGGAUACAAACCCCGAUCUGUCUGAGUCCAGGACUGUAAUAAUUUUAACAAUCGUAAUAAGAUUUUUUUUUUCUCCACAUAUGCCUGUAAGUUGCUACCAAAGUCAGAUUUCUAUACCAAGAGACAUAUGAGGAGGCGAGAGGGAAUGAAAAAAGAAGAAAAAAAAGAUGCUAACUCAGUAUCUCAGCUCUCGAGACUGAAGGGUUCAAAGCUGCUGUGGGAACCAGAUGGCUGAAACUAGAGAGACAGAAGUCACUAUUUUCCCCAUGUAUUUCCUCUCCCACAUUGGACCAUGGGUCCCAUUUGAGGUUGCCCUUAAUGUUCACAAUUAUUGGAUUUCACCUGGAUAAAAAUUGGAGGGAAGGGGAAGGAUGAGAGAGAGACAUAAUUUUCUCCAGGUGCUUUCAGUCCCUCAGUCUCCCAGACCACCUCUUACAGAAAGAAGUCUUACUUGUUUCAUAUUAAUUCAUUUUUUUUUCCAAAUAGAAAAUGGUAUUCUCUCACUGGUAGAAUGAGAAAGAAAAUUCAAAUACACUAUUUAGAUACUUAGGAUUCUGUAGAAAUGAUUCCCCGGCACUCUACAGAGAGUGAGGUACCCUCAGCAGCAUGUAUUAAUUCAUAAAUGGGGUUUGAGUUCUCCACCCCUGUGAGCUGUACAAUUUCACAUCCCUGAUGAAAACUGCAAGGAAGCUACUAAUUUUCACUUCUGAAAAUGCUCACUGUGAAAAUGCAUUGGGAAUUUAGCCAGAAGGAAUUUUUAUGUUAAUUUCUAGUAUGGAGAAAGGAGCAGGGAAUAAAGAAAAAGAAAAAAUAAAGUAAAAUAAAAUAAAUUCAACUGUUUCAAGACCAAA